UACGUAGGGGGCAAGCGUUGUUCGGAAUUACUGGGCGUAAAGGGCGCGUAGGCGGCACGGCAAGUCAGGAGUGAAAGGCCUGGGCUCAACCGAGGAACUGCUUUUGAGACUGCCGAGCUCGAGGGAGGUAGGGGUCUGUGGAACUUCCGGUGGAGCGGUGAAAUGCGUUGAUAUCGGAAGGAACGCCGGUGGCGAAAGCGACGGACUGGAUCUCUUCUGACGCUGAGGCGCGAAAGCCAGGGGAGCAAACGGG
Molecule: ribosomal RNA, 253 nt
Filed under: uncultured bacterium
Lineage: Bacteria
Description: partial 16S ribosomal RNA
Rfam family: Bacterial small subunit ribosomal RNA
Source: RNAcentral